UAGGGAAUCUUCCGCAAUGGACGCAAGUCUGACGGAGCAACGCCGCGUGAGUGAAGAAGGUUUUCGGUUCGUAAAACUCUGUUGUUAGAGAAGAACAGCGCAUAGAGUAACUGUUAUGCGUGUGACGGUAUCUAACCAGAAAGCCACGGCUAACUACGUGCCAGCAGCCGCGGUAAUACGUAGGUGGCAAGCGUUGUCCGGAUUUAUUGGGCGUAAAGCGAGCGCAGGCGGUCAAUUAAGUCUGAUGUGAAAGCCCCCGGCUCAACCGGGGAGGGUCAUUGGAAACUGGUUGACUUGAGUGCAGAAGAGGAGAGUGGAAUUCCAUGUGUAGCGGUGAAAUGCGUAGAUAUAUGGAGGAACACCAGUGGCGAAGGCGACUCUCUGGUCUGUAACUGACGCUGAGGCUCGAAAGCGUGGGUAGCAAACAGG
RNAcentral lists this ribosomal RNA (429 nucleotides) under Bacteroidota bacterium. RNAcentral describes it as "Bacteroidetes bacterium partial 16S ribosomal RNA". It matches the Rfam family "Bacterial small subunit ribosomal RNA", at positions 355 to 776 of the family's 1533-position model. The record is from RNAcentral. Lineage: Bacteria; Pseudomonadati; Bacteroidota.